AUACGUAGGGGGCGAGCGUUGUCCGGAAUCAUUGGGCGUAAAGCGCGUGUAGGCGGCCAUGCAAGUCCGAUGUGAAAGCUCGGGGCUCAACUCCGAGUCUGCAUUGGAAACUGCGUGGCUUGAGUCCGGAAGAGGAGACUGGAAUUCCUGGUGUAGCGGUGAAAUGCGCAGAUAUCAGGAAGAACACCGGUGGCGAAGGCGGGUCUCUGGGACGGUACUGACGCUGAGACGCGAAAGCGUGGGGAGCAAACAGGAUUAGAUACCCUGGUAGUCCACGCCGUAAACGAUGGGCACUAGGUGUGGGAGGUGUCGACUCCUUCCGUGCCGUAGCUAACGCAUUAAGUGCCCCGCCUGGGGAGUACGGCCGCAAGGCUAAA
Molecule: ribosomal RNA, 377 nt
Filed under: uncultured bacterium
Lineage: Bacteria
Description: bacterial SSU rRNA
Rfam family: Bacterial small subunit ribosomal RNA
Source: RNAcentral